GAAAUGCGAAACGUAAUGUGAAUUGCAUCCUUGUGUAUCAUCGAAUCUUUGAACGCAGUGUGCGCCCGGGCUUUUGUCCCGGGCACGCUUGUCUGAGCAAGGGUUUCUUUUUCUUAUUGGCGGUCCAAUUGAUUUAUUCGUCCGCUCAAAACGACUGUCGUUGUGCGCACCAGGAAACUCCGUUUCUAACCACGCAAUCAACGCUUUGACAGAACCAACCCAACUACUUCUCCUUCUCAGAUCAAGCGAGACUACCCGCUGAACUUAA
This 268-nucleotide unclassified non-coding RNA is filed under the name uncultured fungus. RNAcentral's name for it is "sequence contains ITS1". The stretch from base 1 to 102 matches the Rfam family "5.8S ribosomal RNA", at positions 50 to 154 of the family's 154-position model. The record is from RNAcentral. Lineage: Eukaryota; Fungi.